This 77-nucleotide transfer RNA is filed under the name Erysipelotrichaceae bacterium. RNAcentral describes it as "tRNA-Met". It matches the Rfam family "tRNA". From Rfam's summary of the family: Transfer RNA (tRNA) molecules are approximately 80 nucleotides in length. Their secondary structure includes four short double-helical elements and three loops (D, anti-codon, and T loops). RNAcentral also lists the same sequence under 1 other name. The record is from RNAcentral. Lineage: Bacteria; Bacillati; Bacillota; Erysipelotrichia; Erysipelotrichales; Erysipelotrichaceae.
GGCGGGAUAGCUCAGUUGGCUAGAGCAAUCGGUUCAUACCCGGUCGGUCGUGAGUUCGAGUCUCACUCCCGCUACCA